AAACCCUCCUUGGCUCAUAGAGUUAUUUGCUAAAAGAAUCCUGCCCUUUCCUCUCUGGAGCUAGUUUACUAUUGAUGUUGGCUACACAAGCAAUGAUUUGACACCACCCCCUUCUCCACUAAACCAUCUCCCCCCGCCUCACAUGACAAGCCAAAGUCAGACACAGCUGGAAAACUAGGGAGCAAUGAUCUGAAGGAGAAAAUUGCAUGUGAAAAUAUUACAAAAUGCAACAAUAAGAAUGAACUGUUACGCUCUACUUUUAAGAAAAAAAAAAGAGUUGGGGGAACAUAUACCCCAACCAUCCGAAUUGUGGUACAACCAAACAUGUAUUAGCUGGAAUGGAAUUCUGAGAUGCCAAUGAAAGGCUUGUUUAGAAAGCUGAGCACCAAUCUGCAAAUCGGGACCAGCUGGAAGAUUCAAUUUAAAACAGAUCUGGCCAUGGAAAGGGAAAAUCUUAAGCUGCCUCAAAACUGGCUCCAUCAGCCUGGCCGUGGACUUGCAGAAAACACAGGAUG
This 515-nucleotide long non-coding RNA is filed under the name Homo sapiens (human). Its description in RNAcentral is "HSALNT0211725". Lineage: Eukaryota; Metazoa; Chordata; Mammalia; Primates; Hominidae. The record is from RNAcentral.